Molecule: ribosomal RNA, 253 nt
Filed under: uncultured bacterium
Lineage: Bacteria
Description: partial 16S ribosomal RNA
Rfam family: Bacterial small subunit ribosomal RNA
Source: RNAcentral
UACGUAGGGUGCGAGCGUUAAUCGGAAUUACUGGGCGUGAAGCGUGCGCAGGCGGUUCGCCAAGUCAGGUGUGAAAUCCCCGGACUUAACCUGGGAAUUGCGCUUGAAACUAGCGGGCUUGAGUGUGGCAGAGGGGGGUGGAAUUCCACGUGUAGCAGUGAAAUGCGUAGAGAUGUGGAGGAACACCGAUGGCGAAGGCAGCCCCCUGGGUCAACACUGACGCUCAUGCACGAAAGCGUGGGGAGCAAACAGG